GUGUGUGACAGGUUAGUACAGUGGUGAACCUAUAGGACCUUCAGCGUGUGACUGGUUAGUACAGUGAUGAACCUAUAGUACCUUCAGCAUGUGACAGGUUAGUACAGUGGUGAACCUAUAGGUCUUCAGUGUGUGACAGGUUAGUACAGUGGUGAACCUAUAGGUCUUCAGUGUGUAACAGGUUAGUACAGUGGUGAACCUAUAGGCCUUCAGUGUGUGACAGGUUAGUACAGUGGUGAACCUAUAGGUCUUCAGUGUGUGACAGGUUAGUACAGUGGUGAACCUAUAGGACUUCAGUGUGACAGGUUAGUACAGUGGUGAACCUAUAGGUCUUCAGUGUGUGACAGGUUAGUACAGUGGUGAACCUAUAGGACCUUCAGCGUGUGACUGGUUAGUACAGUGAUGAACCUAUAGUACCUUCAGCAUGUGACAGGUUAGUACAGUGGUGAACCUAUAGGCCUUCAGUGUGUGACAGGUUAGUACAGUGGUGAACCUAUAGGCCUUCAGUGUGUGACAGGUUAGUACAGUGGUGAACCUAUAGGUCUUCAGUGGUGAACCUAUAGGUCUUCAGUGUGUGACAGGUUAGUACAGUGGUGAACCUAUAGGACUUCAGUGUGUGACAGGUUAGUACAGUGGUGAACCUAUAGGACUUCAGUGUGUGACAGGUUAGUACAGUGGUGAACCUAUAGGACUUCAGUGUGUGACAGGUUAGUACAGUGGUGAACCUAUAGGUCUUCAGUAUGUAACAGGUUAGUACAGUGGUGAACCUAUAGGCCUUCAGUGGUGAACCUAUAGGUCUUCAGUGUGUGACAGGUUAGUACAGUGGUGAACCUAUAGGUCUUCAGUAUGUAACAGGUUAGUACAGUGGUGAAUCUAUAGGCCUUCAGUGUGUGACAGGUUAGUAUAGUGGUGAACCUAUAGGCCUUCAGUGUGUGACAGGUUAGUACAGUGGUGAACCUAUAGGUCUUCAGUGUGUAACAGGUUAGUACAGUGGUGAACCUAUAGGUCUUCAGUGUGGGACAGGUUAGUACAGUGGUGAACCUAUAGGUCUUCAGUGGUAAACCUAUAGGCUUUCGGUGUGUGACAUGUUUGUGAUUCUGAAAGGACAGCAACCAUAAUACCAGCACACUCAUGUAUGAGAGUGCACUUUUUGUCAAACAAAAUGUAGCAAGCUAAAAAACCUGAGCCUAACGUUAGCUAGAUAGCUACACUAACUGACUGACUGACUUUUCCCCCUCAUCAUUUUUCGGUGGCUAUACACAGCUAGAGAUGCAGGUAUCAUUUGGUUAGCUAGCAAGAACUUGAACAACCGUGAUCGAAAAUUCAUUCUGGCAAAUGGCUCGUUUGUUUAAAGGCCUACUGUGGCUCUGAUUGGCUAUAGCGCACCGGCCUGUAUGACAGAUGUUUUUAUUCUGUUUAAUUUAUGGUUUUAUUUACUGCAGUGUCUUAAUUGUCUAAACACACGGCUGCUUUCCCACUCUAUAUUGCUAUGGAAUUUUCACAAAUGCCUUAGUAUACGUAAUUCCCAAACAUUCUAAGAAUUUAUGAAAAUGUGAAAAUGACCAUAGUGGUUGCUUGUCAGAUUUUUUGGGGGGUGUGUAUAUGAACACAUUUUUAAUAAGAUUUCAUGUUCCUAAAACGCUAUCAGUUCCACACUCACAUUUUUCUGGUCUUGACUCUGUCUCGGACCCCUUGUCCCCCUCCCGGUCUUGACUCAGUCCUCAACAUAGGGCAGCUAACAAACAAUCACAAGGUCAGGUGCUUGGGCACUAGCUAAGCACAGGCUAACUCUGGCUCUAAGAUAGUCACACGGAAGCACCAUACGUAUUACAGCUGAUCUCAGGAACUUACUGUAGCCUAGCUGCUGUUUGCUAAUGAUCCUAGUCAUCUUGUGUGUGAAAAGAUAUGUUUGAAGUUUCCCUGUUUUAUCAUACUGAUACAAUUAUGAUAAAGUAAAAUAUUCAUUCACUCAUAAAACAGGAUUGCCAUUUAGGAUUUACAAUCAUGAUGUUAACCUCUGUAUAACAAAGUUACACUUCUGGAGCCCACAACUCACUGUGAUGUAGUCUAACCCCUAAUACAUGUUUUUGUUGUUUUGACAGUUGUAUUGUAUGUUUGUAAAAUAAUAAUCUCACCUAUAUUAUAAUGAUAUUCAGUUGGCCUUUUUUUUUGGAAAGGAAAUGUUUGAGUGAGAAUUAAAGAGAAUGAAUAUGAAAUAAAUGGAGCAAAUAUUGGCUCUGUCCUCAGGAGAAUAUAGAAAAGCUUAGAACCAAGCACACAGAGCAUUUGCUUUACUUGAAACUGGUUACAUUGAAUUCCACAAAACCUCUUUGUUCAAGGCAGCCUUCUAAAAAGGCUGCACUUAUUUAUUUUAAGUUUGUCAUUUAACAUGUUUUUCAUUCAGAACCCAAAUUCAGUUCAUUGGUAACUAAUAUGACAUACUCUUAAACUACAUAGCUUCUUGUCCUCUGUACUUGAUCUCCCUUUGAACAAAACAUUCCUUCCUUUGCACAAAUUACUUAUUGAAAUAUAACUUUUUCACUCUGAACAGCUUUUUAAUGGUGCACAUGUUAUACCACUGCUUUGAAUGUGUCAUCUUUGGCCAAAUAUUGACAAUUUACCCAGCCUUCAACGAGUCCUUGUUUAAUAAUAUGUAUUUCUAGUAACAUUUGAUGUAUUUUACAAGUGUAGUCAAGUAAAUUAAUAAAAAUGUUUUGCCUGGA
This is a long non-coding RNA of Oncorhynchus masou masou (cherry salmon), 2723 nucleotides long. RefSeq lists it as uncharacterized. The transcript has 2 exons. The record is from RefSeq and is a predicted model, not a curated record. NCBI's taxonomy places the organism in Eukaryota, Metazoa, Chordata, Actinopteri, Salmoniformes, Salmonidae.